Molecule: unclassified non-coding RNA, 366 nt
Filed under: uncultured fungus
Lineage: Eukaryota; Fungi
Description: partial contains 5.8S ribosomal RNA and internal transcribed spacer 2
Rfam family: 5.8S ribosomal RNA (bases 1-133)
Source: RNAcentral
UGGCUCUCGCAUCGAUGAAGAACGCAGCGAAAUGCGAUAAGUAAUGUGAAUUGCAGAAUUCAGUGAAUCAUCGAAUCUUUGAACGCACCUUGCGCUCCUUGGUAUUCCGAGGAGCAUGCCUGUUUGAGUGUCAUUAAAUUCUCAACCUCUCUAGUUUUUAUUAACUAGUAGAUGGCUUGGAUUUGGGAGUUUGCAGGCUUUCACAAGUCAGCUCUCCUUAAAUGUAUUAGCCGGUGCUCUCUGACCGUCUAUUGGUGUGAUAAUUAUCUACGCCGUGGACUAUUAGACUUGUUGCGCUGCUUAUAAUCGUCUACUUUAGACAAUUAAUGACCAUUUGACCUCAAAUCAGGUAGGACUACCCGCUGA